Molecule: ribosomal RNA, 839 nt
Filed under: Micrococcus sp. 30-8pA
Lineage: Bacteria; Bacillati; Actinomycetota; Actinomycetes; Micrococcales; Micrococcaceae
Description: bacterial SSU rRNA
Rfam family: Bacterial small subunit ribosomal RNA
Source: RNAcentral
GCUACACAUGCAGUCGACGAUGAAGCCCAGCUUGCUGGGUGGAUUAGUGGCGAACGGGUGAGUAACACGUGAGUAACCUGCCCUUAACUCUGGGAUAAGCCUGGGAAACUGGGUCUAAUACCGGAUAGGAGCGUCCACCGCAUGGUGGGUGUUGGAAAGAUUUAUCGGUUUUGGAUGGACUCGCGGCCUAUCAGCUUGUUGGUGAGGUAAUGGCUCACCAAGGCGACGACGGGUAGCCGGCCUGAGAGGGUGACCGGCCACACUGGGACUGAGACACGGCCCAGACUCCUACGGGAGGCAGCAGUGGGGAAUAUUGCACAAUGGGCGAAAGCCUGAUGCAGCGACGCCGCGUGAGGGAUGACGGCCUUCGGGUUGUAAACCUCUUUCAGUAGGGAAGAAGCGAAAGUGACGGUACCUGCAGAAGAAGCACCGGCUAACUACGUGCCAGCAGCCGCGGUAAUACGUAGGGUGCGAGCGUUAUCCGGAAUUAUUGGGCGUAAAGAGCUCGUAGGCGGUUUGUCGCGUCUGUCGUGAAAGUCCGGGGCUUAACCCCGGAUCUGCGGUGGGUACGGGCAGACUAGAGUGCAGUAGGGGAGACUGGAAUUCCUGGUGUAGCGGUGGAAUGCGCAGAUAUCAGGAGGAACACCGAUGGCGAAGGCAGGUCUCUGGGCUGUAACUGACGCUGAGGAGCGAAAGCAUGGGGAGCGAACAGGAUUAGAUACCCUGGUAGUCCAUGCCGUAAACGUUGGGCACUAGGUGUGGGGACCAUUCCACGGUUUCCGCGCCGCAGCUAACGCAUUAAGUGCCCCGCCUGGGGAGUACGGCCGCAAGGUAAAUAG